AUACGGAGGAUGCGAGCGUUAUCCGGAUUUAUUGGGUUUAAAGGGUGCGUAGGUGGCAGAUUAAGUCAGCGGUGAAAGUUUGUCGCUCAACGAUAAAAUUGCCGUUGAUACUGGUUUACUUGAGUAUAGUUGAAGUAGGCGGAAUGCGUGGUGUAGCGGUGAAAUGCAUAGAUAUCACGCAGAACUCCGAUUGCGAAGGCAGCUUACUAAGUUAUAACUGACACUGAAGCACGAAAGCGUGGGUAUCAAACAGGAUUAGAUACCCUGGUAGUCCACGCAGUAAACGAUGAUUACUAGCUGUUUGCGAUAUACAGUAAGUGGCGCAGCUAACGCAUUAAGUACUCCGCCUGGGAAGUACGAUCGCAAGAUUGAAACUUAAAGGAAUUGACGGGG
RNAcentral lists this ribosomal RNA (393 nucleotides) under uncultured bacterium. RNAcentral's name for it is "partial 16S ribosomal RNA". It matches the Rfam family "Bacterial small subunit ribosomal RNA", at positions 523 to 918 of the family's 1533-position model. The record is from RNAcentral.